GCUCCUACCGAUUGAGUGAUCCGGUGAAUUAUUCGGACUGACGCAGUGCGCAGCUUCUGGACGUUGCGUUGGAAAGUUUCAUGAACCUUAUCACUUAGAGGAAGGAGAAGUCGUAACAAGGUUUCCGUAGGUGAACCUGCAGAAGGAUCAAGACCGGAAGAGAGGCGUGUAGGGUAAGAGAGUAGAUCAGGGCGGUCGCCGCACCAUUACAAAAAAAAAAAAACACACAACAGAUCCAGAGACCGAGAAACAAACGAACGUACGACAAUCGCAGUG
RNAcentral lists this unclassified non-coding RNA (276 nucleotides) under sea anemone metagenome. Its description in RNAcentral is "partial contains small subunit ribosomal RNA and internal transcribed spacer 1". The stretch from base 1 to 153 matches the Rfam family "Eukaryotic small subunit ribosomal RNA", at positions 1678 to 1831 of the family's 1831-position model. The record is from RNAcentral.